GUGGAUUAGAUACCCUAGUAGUCCUGGCAGUAAACGGUGCACGUUUGGUGUGGGAGGAUUCGACCCCUUCUGCGCCGGAGCUAACGCGUUAAACGUGCCGCCUGGGGAGUACGGUCGCAAGAUUAAAACUCAAAGAAAUUGACGGGGGCCCGCACAAGCGGUGGAGUAUGUGGCUUAAUUCGAUGCAACGCGAAGAACCUUACCUGGCCUUGACAUGCAUCUCUAAGCUGGUGAAAGCCAGUGAGUCCCGAAAGGGACAAUUUGCACAGGUGCUGCACGGCCGUCGCCAACU
Molecule: ribosomal RNA, 292 nt
Filed under: uncultured bacterium
Lineage: Bacteria
Description: partial 16S ribosomal RNA
Rfam family: Bacterial small subunit ribosomal RNA
Source: RNAcentral